AGGUGCCGCCUGCCAUGACCAACAUGGCUGUCACCCCGAGCGACAAUUUCAGUAGAAUUUCUGCACUCAGAUUCGAAAUAUCCCGCGCAAUGUGCGUCCGCGUUGUUUUUCUGUUUGGAGUAGCCGCGCUAGCGCUGCAGGCGCUGCAGAGAAUGCCGCGCCAAACCCGAAACUACGCCACCGUACCGAAACUUUCGAAACGCCGCGCCGACGGGUCUUCGGAGUGCGCGCGCUCGAAGCGACCAAGCGGCAGCCAUUACCACCAGCGUCGGCGCAUUGUUCUGCCGUCGUUGGUGUCUCCCGCAGUUUCGAACAGCCAAGACUCCACGACUGCAGCCGUUUCAUUGCCAGCUGUAAGGAUGAAGCAGCUUCAUAGCCGGACAUCAGACGCCUUCCAAGUUCCCCUUUUCAGCAACAGAGGCAUAGGAUGCCAUUCUACCUGUGCUGCAUUGUGUGGCUGACCACUCCUAGGAUCUCAGCAGAAUCAUUACACAGUUUCAGAAGCCACAAUUGCCUGGCAUGCUGUCUGGUCAUGAUGCGUGGCUACAAUGCACAACCUUUUGAGGAUUCCAGACUGUACACAACACUUGUGGCCUAGUUUGCUGGAUGCAUAUUAUGCCGUAAGCCACAACCAUCCUUCUUUAUUUUUUACUUCUGCCUUUUUUUUUGUCACAGCACAAAACCGUCCUAACAAGGGCCUGUGAAAAUAUGAUUUGCACAACUGAAUUAGGCAUGACGAUGGAAUAUAAUGAAUGAGAUGAGCCAAGUAAAAAAUGGUCGCAGUUGUUUCGUAUGCUCUUGUGCUUUUUCAUGGGCAAAAGCGCACUUGGUCCCUAUGGGCUAAAUGCCUUUCUUUCUGUAGGAAGCUUGUGAACAGAGAUUUGCUCUGAUGUGAGAA
Long non-coding RNA from Dermacentor silvarum, 898 nucleotides. RefSeq lists it as uncharacterized. NCBI's taxonomy places the organism in Eukaryota, Metazoa, Arthropoda, Arachnida, Ixodida, Ixodidae. The transcript has 5 exons. The record is from RefSeq and is a predicted model, not a curated record.